AUGCAAUAUAACAGAGAAGGCCACCCCUCAGGACAAGUAAGUCAGGCACUCCACAGCAAAGGGAACAGCAAAUCCCAUUUACACAGGCUGCCCUGCCCUCUCCUUCAAUACAGUCAGCUAAAGUAUUUGAGCUCUUCUCCACGCUCGCCUUCAAGCCUGAAGAAAGAGGUUUUUAGUGACUCAUCACAGUGUGUGGACCGAUACCGUACAAUAGCUAAGUGGUGCACAAACACGGAACAAAAGGAUGCCAUCAAAACUAAAGAGCUCAGAACUUUCUUCUGUGUUAAAGCUCUAGUCAUGGCAAGACAGCACCUGCACAGCUCCACGCUCACCUUUACAGAAACUGAAGCACAAAUUCACGCCAAAAGAACUGUGGAGAUGUACACCGAGUCGCGGACACCCCACCCACUCCACACAGAGUAA
This 423-nucleotide long non-coding RNA is filed under the name Anas platyrhynchos platyrhynchos (common mallard). RNAcentral's name for it is "lncRNA (ENSAPLG00000028512.1)". The record is from RNAcentral. Lineage: Eukaryota; Metazoa; Chordata; Aves; Anseriformes; Anatidae.